Molecule: ribosomal RNA, 530 nt
Filed under: uncultured bacterium
Lineage: Bacteria
Description: partial 16S ribosomal RNA
Rfam family: Bacterial small subunit ribosomal RNA
Source: RNAcentral
UGGGGAAUUUUGGACAAUGGGCGAAAGCCUGAUCCAGCAAUGCCGCGUGUGUGAAGAAGGCCUUCGGGUUGUAAAGCACUUUUGUCCGGAAAGAAAUCCUUGGCUCUAAUACAGUCGGGGGAUGACGGUACCGGAAGAAUAAGCACCGGCUAACUACGUGCCAGCAGCCGCGGUAAUACGUAGGGUGCAAGCGUUAAUCGGAAUUACUGGGCGUAAAGCGUGCGCAGGCGGUUUGCUAAGACCGAUGUGAAAUCCCCGGGCUCAACCUGGGAACUGCAUUGGUGACUGGCAGGCUAGAGUAUGGCAGAGGGGGGUGAGAAUUCCACGUGUAGCAGUGAAAAUGCGUAGAGAUGUGGAGGAAUACCGAUGGCGAAGGCGAGCCCCGGCAAUAACUGACGCUCAUGCACGAAAAGCGUGGGGGAGCAAAACAGGAUUAGAUACCCUGGUAGUCCACGCCCUAAAACGAUGUCAACUAGUUGUUGGGGAUUCAUUUCCUUAGUAACGUAGCUAACGCGUGAAGUUGACCGCCU